AUUAUUCCAUGCCGUCGCCGCCGCCAGUCCUGCGCCAAGGCUCCGAUCGUGACGGAGGUGGCGCCGAUUCGACGACUCGAGCGAUUAGAUAAGUUUCCCUUCUUCCUUUUUAUAUUUUAAGCGAAAAAAAAUGAAAAACGAAUCACCAAGAAUGAUGAACCAAAAAGAAAUAAAAAAAGACCUUUUUAUUCCAAAAAUUUUCGGAUCUGUUCUCUUCCCCCUAUUUUCGUAUGCUUUUUACACUGAAAUCCCCCACCUCUUUACAGAUUUAAAGCCCCCUUAUAUAGCCG
This 290-nucleotide long non-coding RNA is filed under the name Gossypium raimondii (Peruvian cotton). RNAcentral describes it as "long non-coding RNA (GRAI_LNC000200)". Lineage: Eukaryota; Viridiplantae; Streptophyta; Magnoliopsida; Malvales; Malvaceae. The record is from RNAcentral.